GAUGAACGCUAGCGGGAGGCCUAACACAUGCAAGUCGAACGGGAUUGGGAGCUUGCUCCCAUGAGAGUGGCGCACGGGUGAGUAACGCGUAUGCAACCUGCCUAUAACAGAGGGAUAGCCCAUAGAAAUGUGGAUUAAUACCUCAUAGUCCUUAAACUCCGCAUGGAUUUUAAGGUAAAACUCCGGUGGUUAUAGAUGGGCAUGCGUGACAUUAGCUAGUUGGUGUGGUAACGGCGCACCAAGGCGACGAUCAGUAGGGGAACUGAGAGGUUGGUCCCCCACACUGGCACUGAGAUACGGGCCAGACUCCUACGGGAGGCGGCAGUGAGGAAUAUUGGACAAUGGAUGGAAAUCUGAUCCAGCCAUGCCGCGUGCAGGAAGACGGCCCUAUGGGUUGUAAACUGCUUUUAUAUGGGAGCAAUAAGGCCUACGAGUAGGUUGAUGAGAGUACCAUAUGAAUAAGCACCGGCUAACUCCGUGCCAGCAGCCGCCGUAA
RNAcentral lists this ribosomal RNA (496 nucleotides) under uncultured bacterium. Its description in RNAcentral is "partial 16S ribosomal RNA". It matches the Rfam family "Bacterial small subunit ribosomal RNA", at positions 28 to 523 of the family's 1533-position model. The record is from RNAcentral.